RNAcentral lists this ribosomal RNA (305 nucleotides) under uncultured bacterium. RNAcentral describes it as "partial 16S ribosomal RNA". It matches the Rfam family "Bacterial small subunit ribosomal RNA", at positions 505 to 809 of the family's 1533-position model. The record is from RNAcentral.
ACAGCAGUAGCCACGGGAAUACGAAGGGUGCAAGCGUUACUCGGAAUUACUGGGCGUAAAGCGUGCGUAGGUGGUGGUUUAAGUCCGUUGUGAAAGCCCUGGGCUCAACCUGGGAAUUGCAGUGGAUACUGGGUCACUAGAGUGUGGUAGAGGAUAGUGGAAUUUCCGGUGUAGCAGUGAAAUGCGUAGAGAUCGGAAGGAACAUCUGUGGCGAAGGCGACUAUCUGGGCCAACACUGACACUGAGGCACGAAAGCGUGGGGAGCAAACAGGAUUAGAUACCCGAGUAGUCCCUGUCUCUUAUAU